Long non-coding RNA from Cyprinus carpio (common carp), 583 nucleotides. NCBI's taxonomy places the organism in Eukaryota, Metazoa, Chordata, Actinopteri, Cypriniformes, Cyprinidae. The record is from Ensembl.
GCCGGUUGACAGCGAUGUAAUUUGUGUGCGGCAUUCAACAACAUUAACAAAGAACAACGUUAACAGGAGGAAGGAGGACGCUGUGAUCGGAGCGUGUUUUUGUUGUGUCUCGAGGGUUUCACAAUAAUGGAGAUGGAAUGUCGACGACAACUGGCAGUGCUACAUUUGCUACAAGUGCCUGCAUUUCAGCGUCCGUAUAAGUUUGAGGGAGACUAAGGCAGUUCCUGCCUGGGGGUUACUGUAUGUUAAUGUUAACCCCACUCUUCAGAAGAGAAUCACUCUUCAAUCACAGCUGUUUCUGGAGUGAAUUCAGACUAUAAAAGAACAACCAUCAGCUCCCAGACACCAACAUCUACUGAUGGACAUCUUCAAGCCACAGUCUGAUCCAAGUUUCUCAUUUGACUGAGGAAGUGAAAAACAGUAAAAAACAAACAAACAACAAACAAACAAAAAUAACUAGAAAGCAUUUUUACUGUUUUUUUACCUGGAUGAUGCGAUGGCAGCCACAGGCCAUUGGUGCCAGUGCGCUCACCACACACCAGCUACAGGUGGAGAGGAGAGAGAGAUAGAGCCAAUCAAGUGG